CUACGGGCGGCAGCAGUGGGGAAUAUUGGACAAUGGGGGAAACCCUGAUCCAGCAAUGCCGCGGGUGUGAAGAAGGCCUGCGGGUUGUAAAGCACUUUCGGUUGGGAGGACUGCUUCUAGCACUAAUAUUGUUGGAAGUUGACGUUACCUUCAGAAGAAGCACCGGCUAACUCCGUGCCAGCAGCCGCGGUGAAUACGGAGGGUGCAAGCGUUAAUCGGAAUUACUGGGCGUAAAGCGCGCGUAGGCGGCUAGAUCAGUCGGGUGUGAAAGCCCCGGGCUUAACCUGGGAACUGCAUCCGAUACUGUCUAGCUUGAGUACAGGAGAGGAGAGUGGAAUUCCACAUGUAGCGGUGAAAUGCGUAGAUAUGUGGAGGAACACCAAUGGCGAAGGCAGCUCUCUGGCCUGAUACUGACGCUGAGGUGCGAAAGCGUGGGGAGCAAACAGGAUUAGAUACCCGUGUAGUC
RNAcentral lists this ribosomal RNA (466 nucleotides) under uncultured bacterium. RNAcentral describes it as "partial 16S ribosomal RNA". It matches the Rfam family "Bacterial small subunit ribosomal RNA", at positions 339 to 795 of the family's 1533-position model. The record is from RNAcentral.